Molecule: ribosomal RNA, 622 nt
Filed under: Bradyrhizobium japonicum
Lineage: Bacteria; Pseudomonadati; Pseudomonadota; Alphaproteobacteria; Hyphomicrobiales; Nitrobacteraceae
Description: bacterial SSU rRNA
Rfam family: Bacterial small subunit ribosomal RNA
Source: RNAcentral
AGUCGAGCGGGCGUAGCAAUACGUCAGCGGCAGACGGGUGAGUAACGCGUGGGAACGUACCUUUUGGUUCGGAACAACACAGGGAAACUUGUGCUAAUACCGGAUAAGCCCUUACGGGGAAAGAUUUAUCGCCGAAAGAUCGGCCCGCGUCUGAUUAGCUAGUUGGUGAGGUAAUGGCUCACCAAGGCGACGAUCAGUAGCUGGUCUGAGAGGAUGAUCAGCCACAUUGGGACUGAGACACGGCCCAAACUCCUACGGGAGGCAGCAGUGGGGAAUAUUGGACAAUGGGGGCAACCCUGAUCCAGCCAUGCCGCGUGAGUGAUGAAGGCCCUAGGGUUGUAAAGCUCUUUUGUGCGGGAAGAUAAUGACGGUACCGCAAGAAUAAGCCCCGGCUAACUUCGUGCCAGCAGCCGCGGUAAUACGAAGGGGGCUAGCGUUGCUCGGAAUCACUGGGCGUAAAGGGUGCGUAGGCGGGUCUUUAAGUCAGGGGUGAAAUCCUGGAGCUCAACUCCAGAACUGCCUUUGAUACUGAGGAUCUUGAGUUCGGGAGAGGUGAGUGGAACUGCGAGUGUAGAGGUGAAAUUCGUAGAUAUUCGCAAGAACACCAGUGGCGAAGGCGGCU